UAAUACGGGGGGGACUAACGUUAUUCAUCAUAACUGGGCGUAAAGGGUACGUAGGUGGCUUCGUAAGUCUUGAUUAAAGAAUCUAAGCAUAACUUAGAAAUUAUUCUUGAUACUGCUAGGCUCGAGGUCGAAAGAGGUUAGUUAUAUUCUUGAAGUAAAAGUAAAAUCUUUAGAUAUCGAGAGGAUAACCAAGUGGUUAAUGCGACUUUCUGGUUCGACGCUGACGCUGAGGUACGAAGGCAUGGGUAUCAAACGGGAUUAGAGACCCCGGUAGUCCAUGCGGUAAAUCAUGAAUGUUAUGAGAUUGCUCUUUAUUGCAAAAUGUAAAUGGGAGCUAGUCUAUGAGCUAACGCGAAAGCAUUCCGCCUGGGUACUACAGUCGCAAGGUU
RNAcentral lists this ribosomal RNA (389 nucleotides) under uncultured bacterium. Its description in RNAcentral is "bacterial SSU rRNA". It matches the Rfam family "Bacterial small subunit ribosomal RNA", at positions 521 to 895 of the family's 1533-position model. The record is from RNAcentral.